Molecule: ribosomal RNA, 433 nt
Filed under: uncultured bacterium
Lineage: Bacteria
Description: partial 16S ribosomal RNA
Rfam family: Bacterial small subunit ribosomal RNA
Source: RNAcentral
AAUGAACGCUGGCGGCAUGCCUAACACAUGCAAGUCGAACGAGACCUUCGGGUCUAGUGGCGCACGGGUGCGUAACGCGUGGGAACCUGCCCUUAGGUUCGGAAUAACUCCCCGAAAGGGGUGCUAAUACCGGAUAAUGUCUUCGGACCAAAGAUUUAUCGCCUUUGGAUGGGCCCGCGUUGGAUUAGCUAGUUGGUAGGGUAAAAGCCUACCAAGGCGACGAUCCAUAGCUGGUCUGAGAGGAUGAUCAGCCACACUGGGACUGAGACACGGCCCAGACUCCUACGGGAGGCAGCAGUGGGGAAUAUUGGACAAUGGGCGAAAGCCUGAUCCAGCAAUGCCGCGUGAGUGAUGAAGGCCUUAGGGUUGUAAAGCUCUUUUACCCGGGAUGAUAAUGACAGUACCGGGAGAAUAAGCUCCGGUUAACUCCGUG